Molecule: ribosomal RNA, 565 nt
Filed under: uncultured bacterium
Lineage: Bacteria
Description: bacterial SSU rRNA
Rfam family: Bacterial small subunit ribosomal RNA
Source: RNAcentral
AGUCGAGCGACAGAUGAGAAGCUUGCUUCUCUGAUGUUAGCGGCGGACGGGUGAGUAACACGUGGGUAACCUACCUAUGAGACUGGGAUAACUCCGGGAAACCGGGGCUAAUACCGGAUAAUAUUUUGAACCGCAUGGUUCAAUAGUGAAAGACGGUUUCGGCUGUCACUUAUAGAUGGACCCGCGCCGUAUUAGCUAGUUGGUAAGGUAACGGCUUACCAAGGCGACGAUACGUAGCCGACCUGAGAGGGUGAUCGGCCACACUGGAACUGAGACACGGUCCAGACUCCUACGGGAGGCAGCAGUAGGGAAUCUUCCGCAAUGGGCGAAAGCCUGACGGAGCAACGCCGCGUGAGUGAUGAAGGUCUUCGGAUCGUAAAACUCUGUUGUUAGGGAAGAACAAAUUUGUUAGUAACUGAACAAGUCUUGACGGUACCUAACCAGAAAGCCACGGCUAACCACGUGCCAGCAGCCGCGGUAAUACGUAGGUGGCAAGCGUUAUCCGGAAUUAUUGGGCGUAAAGCGCGCGUAGGCGGUUUCUUAAGUCUGAUGUGAAAGCCCACGG